CAGCGCAGCACAAGGAUCCUGGGGAGGAAGAGGGUCGUUGUUUCUCCGGCUCCGAGCCCCUCAGGCCCGCACUCCCCGGUGUGGACUCUGCGCAAGCAGCGCAACAUUAGGUUCCAUAUGGACGACACCGUCUGCCUACUUGAAUCGCUGCCUCAAGAUGUCUUGGUCAAAGUCUGCAAGGUGAACCACAGCGACCUGAGGCAGCUCCUCCAGGUGUCGAAGCCAGUCAGCGAAGCAACAGUGGUUGCUAAGGAGCUGCAUUUCGCCUUCACGACGCUGUCGAAGGCCUCCACGGACGGCGAGGAGGAAGACGAUGGCCCCGGGGCGCCCAACCAACACAGGGUUGCACGGUCGCGCUGCUGGGGCAUGAGUUUGGCCAGCGUCGCCGUCAAUCUGUCUUCGUCGUUCAGCAGCUUGAUGUCAGAGGUGUAG
This 432-nucleotide ribosomal RNA is filed under the name Triticum aestivum (bread wheat). RNAcentral's name for it is "partial small subunit ribosomal RNA". Lineage: Eukaryota; Viridiplantae; Streptophyta; Magnoliopsida; Poales; Poaceae. The record is from RNAcentral.